RNAcentral lists this ribosomal RNA (488 nucleotides) under uncultured bacterium. Its description in RNAcentral is "bacterial SSU rRNA". It matches the Rfam family "Bacterial small subunit ribosomal RNA", at positions 19 to 518 of the family's 1533-position model. The record is from RNAcentral.
CUGGCUCAGAACGAACGCUGGUGGCGUGUCUUAUACAUGCAAGUCGAGCGAAGCAGCAAUGCCGAGCGGCGAACGGGUGAGUAACGCGUAAGCAAUCUGCCCCAUAUCAGGAAAUACCCGUGCCAACGCGCGGUUAAUGUCCAGGAGAGUGGCCCCCUGCAUGGGGGGUUGACUAGAGAUUUAUCGGUAUGGGAUGAGCUUGCGUCCGAUUAGCUAGUUGGCGGGCAACGGCCCACCAAGGCGACGAUCGGUAGCCGGCCUGAGAGGGUGAUCGGCCACAUUGGGACUGAGAUACGGCCCAGACUCCUACGGGAGGCAGCAGUAGGGAAUAUUGCACAAUGGGGGAAACCCUGAUGCAGCAACGCCACGUGGUUGGGAAGAAGCAUUUCGGUGUGUAAACCACUGUCAUGAGGGAAUAAGGCCCUUAUUCGUAAGGGAUUGAAUGUACCUUGAGAGGAAGCACCGGCAAACUUCGUGCCAGCAGCAGC